RNAcentral lists this ribosomal RNA (751 nucleotides) under Acinetobacter calcoaceticus. RNAcentral describes it as "bacterial SSU rRNA". It matches the Rfam family "Bacterial small subunit ribosomal RNA", at positions 37 to 785 of the family's 1533-position model. Lineage: Bacteria; Pseudomonadati; Pseudomonadota; Gammaproteobacteria; Moraxellales; Moraxellaceae. The record is from RNAcentral.
AGGCGGAGGCUUACACUGCAAGUCGAGCGGGGGAAGGUAGCUUGCUACCGGACCUAGCGGCGGACGGGUGAGUAAUGCUUAGGAAUCUGCCUAUUAGUGGGGGACAACAUCUCGAAAGGGAUGCUAAUACCGCAUACGUCCUACGGGAGAAAGCAGGGGAUCUUCGGACCUUGCGCUAAUAGAUGAGCCUAAGUCGGAUUAGCUAGUUGGUGGGGUAAAGGCCUACCAAGGCGACGAUCUGUAGCGGGUCUGAGAGGAUGAUCCGCCACACUGGGACUGAGACACGGCCCAGACUCCUACGGGAGGCAGCAGUGGGGAAUAUUGGACAAUGGGCGCAAGCCUGAUCCAGCCAUGCCGCGUGUGUGAAGAAGGCCUUAUGGUUGUAAAGCACUUUAAGCGAGGAGGAGGCUACUUUAGAUAAUACCUAGAGAUAGUGGACGUUACUCGCAGAAUAAGCACCGGCUAACUCUGUGCCAGCAGCCGCGGUAAUACAGAGGGUGCAAGCGUUAAUCGGAUUUACUGGGCGUAAAGCGCGCGUAGGCGGCUAAUUAAGUCAAAUGUGAAAUCCCCGAGCUUAACUUGGGAAUUGCAUUCGAUACUGGUUAGCUAGAGUGUGGGAGAGGAUGGUAGAAUUCCAGGUGUAGCGGUGAAAUGCGUAGAGAUCUGGAGGAAUACCGAUGGCGAAGGCAGCCAUCUGGCCUAACACUGACGCUGAGGUGCGAAAGCAUGGGGAGCAAACAGGAUUAGAUAC